Molecule: transfer RNA, 77 nt
Filed under: Clostridiales bacterium
Lineage: Bacteria; Bacillati; Bacillota; Clostridia; Eubacteriales
Also listed under: 1 other name
Description: tRNA-Met
Rfam family: tRNA
About the family: Transfer RNA (tRNA) molecules are approximately 80 nucleotides in length. Their secondary structure includes four short double-helical elements and three loops (D, anti-codon, and T loops). Further hydrogen bonds mediate the characteristic L-shaped molecular structure. tRNAs have two regions of fundamental functional importance: the anti-codon, which is responsible for specific mRNA codon recognition, and the 3' end, to which the tRNAs corresponding amino acid is attached (by aminoacyl-tRNA synthetases). tRNAs cope with the degeneracy of the genetic code in two manners: having more than one tRNA (with a specific anti-codon) for a particular amino acid; and 'wobble' base-pairing, i.e. permitting non-standard base-pairing at the 3rd anti-codon position.
Source: RNAcentral
GGCGGCAUAGCUCAGCUGGCUAGAGUACUCGGUUCAUACCCGAUUGGUCACUGGUUCGAAUCCAGUUGCCGCUACCA